GUGCUGAACCACGUUAUAUCUUUGUGUCCUUUUUAUCUUUUUCUAUUCUUCUCAUUUCUUCUACUAUUAUUAUUGCUCGAUACUAACAACUGGUAUCAAGAGUUUUUGGUUAUUCCAAGGGAAUUCCUUAGUUUAGAGGAAUUAGUGGGAGUCUUCUAAGUUUAGAGGAGAUAGUCGAGCAAUGGCGUUAGAAGAAGGGAAGGUGAAGAUUGAGAGGUUUGAUG
Molecule: long non-coding RNA, 224 nt
Filed under: Trifolium pratense (red clover)
Lineage: Eukaryota; Viridiplantae; Streptophyta; Magnoliopsida; Fabales; Fabaceae
Description: long non-coding RNA (TPRA_LNC004089)
Source: RNAcentral